UACGUAGGGUGCGAGCGUUAAUCGGAAUUACUGGGCGUAAAGCGUGCGCAGGCGGUUUUGUAAGCCAGAUGUGAAAUCCCCGGGCUUAACCUGGGAAUGGCAUUUGGGACUGCAAGGCUUGAGUGCGGCAGAGGAGACUGGAAUUCCUGGUGUAGCAGUGAAAUGCGUAGAUAUCAGGAGGAACACCGAUGGCGAAGGCGGCCAACUGGCCCGAUACUGACGCUCAUGUGCGAAAGCGUGGGGAGCAAACAGG
RNAcentral lists this ribosomal RNA (253 nucleotides) under uncultured bacterium. Its description in RNAcentral is "partial 16S ribosomal RNA". It matches the Rfam family "Bacterial small subunit ribosomal RNA", at positions 524 to 776 of the family's 1533-position model. The record is from RNAcentral.